This 61-nucleotide transfer RNA is filed under the name Rhamnusium bicolor. RNAcentral's name for it is "tRNA-OTHER". The record is from RNAcentral. Lineage: Eukaryota; Metazoa; Arthropoda; Insecta; Coleoptera; Cerambycidae.
GUGGGCGAGUGGUAAGGACACUUGUCUCUCGCCCUAGAGUCCCGGGUUCGAUCCCCGGUCA